Molecule: long non-coding RNA, 1214 nt
Organism: Pipistrellus kuhlii (Kuhl's pipistrelle)
Lineage: Eukaryota; Metazoa; Chordata; Mammalia; Chiroptera; Vespertilionidae
Exons: 2
Source: RefSeq, a predicted model, not a curated record
GUGCAUGUGGCCACUAGUUAAUAUUGAUGAAUCUCAGCUUUUUAGUCAUUUAUACCUCAUAGUGUUCCUGCUGAUAAUUGAAGUAAUGAAAGUAAAAGUGCUUGGUUAACUGUAAAGUGUGUGAGAGUGUUAUGGUAAUGCUGCCUUAUUAUUAGUGGUUGUAAUGAAACUAGUAAUUUCUUAAGUUGUGUGAUUCAUUUAUUCAUUUUUUUACCUUGAGGUGCUGCUGCAUUUAUGUGGUUUGCCCUUUAUUAAAUUAAAUAUCUGGCUUAUUGGAUUUGGGGGAGAGGUGAAUGUGAAGAGGGGAAAAUGAUUCUGCUAUUUUCAUCAGAAUAAGCCAAUUGAUAUUGGAUAUUUUUGCUUGCUGGAGUCCUGAUUUUCUGUGUGUAAAUAUAUAUAUAGAUAGGUAUAGCAGGUAGUUGAUCUCAUCUUCAUUCUGUUAUUAGGUUGAAUGAUUGUAAAUAUUCUUUGGGUUCUUCUAAUUUUUUGUAGUGGUAUUUGUGUGCUUUCUCUUUAUCAUUGUUAGCCAGACAUUUUUGGUGACGUCAUUCCUGUUUUUCCUUACAAAUGAAAUUAAUUUGUAAUUUAUAAUUAGAGCAUUGAGAAUGUCAGUGCAAUAGUUUGAAACUAUUCUUUGUUCUUUGUGUAUAUAAUGUGAAUAACUGUUUUUCCCCCUCUCAAAUCUCUUAAGAACGCAUGCCUACUGAACCUUUUGAAGCAUUAGAGUAAAUACCGUAUUAGGAAAGCAGACUAGUACUAAGUAUUUAGCUGCAGUAGCAAAGUAAGGAAAAUGAAUCACAGAGCUAUGAAUUUGGAAAAUGAUUGUUGUACAUUGAAAGAACCCUUGUAAAAUCUAGUUACUGAUAAGUGCUUGUGAAGUCUGCUGAUUAAUCUCAUAUUAAAAAGCUGCUUUCACAUAAAAUUCUUUUUUCUUCUAAAAACAUACUAAAACUCUAGAAACUGGAAUUGUGCUACCCUGAAUCCUCAGGUGGUUUUUUCAUAUCAGGCAAAUAAUUAAAAAUAUGACAAAGACAACUCAUAGCUAGAACUUAUUUAUAAAACUUACAUUUAUAAUAUAAAACGUAACUUCUAGGAAAUCUGCAUAUCCUGGUCAAGAUAUGUCCCUUUGUAAUUUUUGAUGGUUUUAAUGAUGAUUGUUAAGCUAAGGCACAUGUGUCAAAUAUGAUUUAUGUUCAUUAUGUUGACUGUUUCUA